AGCAAAGCGUCUGCGAAGCCGACCCCGUGUCCCCUUCGUCUAGAGGCCUAGGACACCGCCCUUUCACGGCGGUAACAGGGGUUCGAAUCCCCUAGGGGACGCCA
RNAcentral lists this transfer RNA (104 nucleotides) under Edwardsiella ictaluri. Its description in RNAcentral is "tRNA-Glu". The stretch from base 29 to 101 matches the Rfam family "tRNA". From Rfam's summary of the family: Transfer RNA (tRNA) molecules are approximately 80 nucleotides in length. Their secondary structure includes four short double-helical elements and three loops (D, anti-codon, and T loops). Further hydrogen bonds mediate the characteristic L-shaped molecular structure. tRNAs have two regions of fundamental functional importance: the anti-codon, which is responsible for specific mRNA codon recognition, and the 3' end, to which the tRNAs corresponding amino acid is attached (by aminoacyl-tRNA synthetases). tRNAs cope with the degeneracy of the genetic code in two manners: having more than one tRNA (with a specific anti-codon) for a particular amino acid; and 'wobble' base-pairing, i.e. permitting non-standard base-pairing at the 3rd anti-codon position. The record is from RNAcentral. Lineage: Bacteria; Pseudomonadati; Pseudomonadota; Gammaproteobacteria; Enterobacterales; Hafniaceae.